UUUCUAAGAAUAUUCUUUUUUAGAGUAGAAAAUAGAGCUAUACACUGGAGAGAAAUCCAUCUCUAAAAUAGAGUUACUCUAUUUUAGAGGUGGAUAUAGAGCUAUACAUUGUAGAUGGUCUUAGCCGCCUACAUGAAACAUCUGUUUAUCUAGGCCUAAUUUCUUUGUUGUUCGCCGACAGAUUUAGGUAAGCUUUACAUGAUUUUGC
This 208-nucleotide small RNA is filed under the name Arabidopsis thaliana (thale cress). Its description in RNAcentral is "ATSL195260". The record is from RNAcentral. Lineage: Eukaryota; Viridiplantae; Streptophyta; Magnoliopsida; Brassicales; Brassicaceae.